Long non-coding RNA from Cyprinus carpio carpio, 1648 nucleotides. NCBI's taxonomy places the organism in Eukaryota, Metazoa, Chordata, Actinopteri, Cypriniformes, Cyprinidae. The record is from Ensembl.
AUUUUUAAUUUUGUCUAUUUGUUUCAGAAAAGAACAGAAGUAGGCAAUAGGCCAGUAUUCCAUUCUGAACACAGCCAUACAGAUGUUUAGACAAAAUGUUUUGGGUUUGAGUAUAUCAGUUGAAUUUAUUAUGACUGUGUUUAUUAUUUAUUCAGUCCACGUUUGUAGAGAAUGACAAAACGUUAAAGCAACUGUAUGUAGUCUUAUGUAUUUUUGCGACUUUGGAGCCCCCUACAGUUAAGAGAGUGGAAUUCACUGACGUAAUUACAGCGGAUAGCUGUACACGUGGAUAUUUAUUGCUUCGCGGAAUUUCGUACCCGCUCACCAAACUUGCUUCCGGAACAGAAAUUUGUGGGGAGCGGGCAAAAGAAACAGAAGCCAUUCUCCUUAUUAGAAGUGAAAGUGAAGUGAAAGUCGUGACAUUUGCCAAGUAUGGUAACCCAUACUCGGAAUUGGUGCUCUGCAUUUAACCCAUCCAAGUGCACACACACAGCAGUGAGAACAGUGGUGUCAAACUCAGUUCCUGGAGGGCCACACCCCUGGAUAGUUUAGCUCCAACCCUAAUUAAACACACCUGAUCCAGCUAAUCAGGUCCUUCAGGCUUAUUUGAAAACUACAUGCUAUGCACGUUGGUGCAGGGUUGGAAGUAAACCCUCCAAGAACUGAGUUUGACACCCCUGCCUUAUUAAAAGCUAGUGUACCAUCAGAAUGAUUUUGAAACAGAUAGUUUCAAGGUAAAAAAGUACAUACAGUUGUUUGAAAUUGUAAGGAAAAAAGGAAAGAUAUUUGGGUAAUGUAGUGGCAUAUUUAACAUAUCAAUUGUGUUUAACAUGAAUAGCAUGAUGGGUGUCUAAAACACAAGCUUUAGGAGUCUGUGUUAUGAGUGAAGCUGUAGAUGUGUUGAAGUGUGCUGUCUGUGUAUGUAGAUGUGUUUGAGUGUAUCGAAACACCUUUACUGAUUUGUGAUGGGGUGUUUUCUCCAAAAAAGGUUUGAUUUAUACUUGUGUUUUGAUAAAGUUUGAAUGAUCAGAAUUGUUUUGAAAUACUUUUAUAGCUGCCUUGAACAUUAUGGGUUCAUAUAACUCUGCCCCAUGAUGUUAAAGUAAUAGAAAGCUUUGCUUUUUGUUGUUUUGCACAGUUUUGAGGGCCAUAAAACCAGUUUAGCAGCUGGACUAUAAAGUGGGUGUCCUUACGACCCAGUCAUAUUCAGAGCUGCUGAUUGGUCAGUUGGUAUCCAUAAGACAUAUGUUUCUGAAAAAAAGUCUUAUUUUGAUUUGAAGAUGUGCCAUGAACGGAUGAUAAUAUUUUAGGCCUUGGAAAUACUUGAGAUGGAGAAUAUUGCAGUACAUUGAGGGACAUGAUACAACACAUCCAAGACAGACACUAGGUUAGUUUCCCCUUUUAACGUACAACAUUCAAACAUAUGCCUGUCAUGUGUCUGCACCUCAGUGAUUGCAUGCAAAAAUGCAACUCCUCUCGGACUUUAAAGUGUGCAAAUGGAUUUCUGACAAUCCUUGUUAAAUGCCGCUCCGCAAGAAGUGGCAUGUGUAGAUAGUGUAUGAUAUGUUCUUUUUUUAAUUUUGUAUGAGCAAACAGCACCUCUAAUUAUGUAUAAAUGCUCCUCUGUAAAACACUCUGCAGUCAGUUG